This 92-nucleotide microRNA precursor is filed under the name Xyrichtys novacula (pearly razorfish). Lineage: Eukaryota; Metazoa; Chordata; Actinopteri; Labriformes; Labridae. The record is from RNAcentral.
ACAUCUAAGAUGUACAGAUGUAUGGAUGACAUUUGAUUAAUAUAUAUAUAUAUAAAUCAAAUGUCAUCCAUACAUCUGUACAUCUUAGAUGU